CCCCGGCAGUAGCUCUCGCCGCAUCCCGGGGUCGAGGAAGAUGACCGCCGCCGCGCUUUCCCCCGCCGGUGCGGGCCCGGGUUCCCGGGGGACGGGCCGCCCCUCCCCCGGCGCGACUGCUCUCCCCGAAACCGGGGCGGACUGUCCUCAGUGCGCCCCGACCGCGUCGCGCCGCCGGGCUCGGGGACCGCUGCUCUCGUCGCACGAGGCGCCCGGGGUCAGCGGCGAUGUCGGCCCCCCACCCGACCCGUCUUGAAACACGGACCAAGGAGUCUAACACGCGCGCGAGUCAGGGGCUCGCACGAAAGCCACCCGUGGCGCAAUGAAGGUGAAGGCCGGCGCCCGCCGGCCGAGGUGGGAUCCCGAGGCCUCGGUCCUUCUUCCCGUCCUGCCGAGGGCGCACCACCGGCCCGUCUCGCCCGCCCCGCCGGGGAGGUGGAGCAUGAGCGUGUGUGUUAGGACCCGAAAGAUGGUGAACUAUGCCUGGGCAGCGAAUGAUUAGAGGUCUUGGGGCCGAAACGAUCUCAACCUAUUCUCAAACUUUAAAUGGGUAAGAAGCCCGGCUCGCUGGCUUGGAGCCG
RNAcentral lists this long non-coding RNA (581 nucleotides) under Monodelphis domestica (gray short-tailed opossum). RNAcentral's name for it is "lncRNA (ENSMODG00000043811.1)". The stretch from base 264 to 581 matches the Rfam family "Eukaryotic large subunit ribosomal RNA", at positions 665 to 1103 of the family's 3401-position model. Lineage: Eukaryota; Metazoa; Chordata; Mammalia; Didelphimorphia; Didelphidae. The record is from RNAcentral.